GGAAGUUUAACUGGUGAUGAAGGAGUCACUUUGUCCAUCACAGACCUUCAGGUGCAGGUGGAAACAAAAAGGAAUCAGGCAGAGCUGAAGUGUUACAGCAGCUGUAAUGUGGCUGAUAAUCCUUCAUAUGUCUGGUACAGAAAUGGAAAAAAUAUGACUGCAGAGAAGUCUUCUAUUAGAGUCUCUGUUCAUGAGAAUAACAAGUAUUCCUGCUCUGUUAAAGGACGAGAGGAUUACCGCUCUCCUGAAGUCUAUGCUCCAAAGCUUCCCUCUGUGUCAGUGAGUCCCUCUGCUGAGAUAGUGAAGUGCAGUUCAGUGACUGUGACCUGUAGCAGUGAUGCUAACCCAGCACCUGAAUACACCUGGUACAACAUGGACGGUCGUGAACUCAGUUCAGUCCUCUGACUCUGGAAGGUAUUACUGUAAAGCUAAGAAUGAUCUGGGAGAGAGGACAUCUGGAUACGUCAAAGUUGAAGUGAAAUAUGCUCCAAAGCUUCUCUCUCUGUCAGUGAGUCCCUCUGC
Molecule: non-coding RNA, 522 nt
Organism: Labrus bergylta (ballan wrasse)
Lineage: Eukaryota; Metazoa; Chordata; Actinopteri; Labriformes; Labridae
Source: RefSeq, a predicted model, not a curated record